UCUGAAUAUGGGGGGACCAUCCUCCAAGGCUAAAUACUCCUGACUGACCGAUAGUGAACCAGUACCGUGAGGGAAAGGCGAAAAGAACCCCGGCGAGGGGAGUGAAAAAGAACCUGAAACCGUGUACGUACAAGCAGUGGGAGCACCUUCGGGUGUGACUGCGUACCUUUUGUAUAAUGGGUCAGCGACUUAUAUUCUGUAGCAAGGUUAACCGUAUAGGGGAGCCGCAGGGAAACCGAGUCUUAACUGGGCGUUAAGUUGCAGGGUAUAGACCCGAAACCCGGUGAUCUAGCCAUGGGCAGGUUGAAGGUUGGGUAACACUAACUGGAGGACCGAACCGACUAAUGUUGAAAAAUUAGCGGAUGACUUGUGGCUGGGGGUGAAAGGCCAAUCAAACCGGGAGAUAGCUGGUUCUCCCCGAAAGCUAUUUAGGUAGCG
This 438-nucleotide ribosomal RNA is filed under the name Klebsiella pneumoniae. RNAcentral describes it as "partial 23S ribosomal RNA". It matches the Rfam family "Bacterial large subunit ribosomal RNA", at positions 437 to 879 of the family's 2925-position model. Lineage: Bacteria; Pseudomonadati; Pseudomonadota; Gammaproteobacteria; Enterobacterales; Enterobacteriaceae. The record is from RNAcentral.